RNAcentral lists this ribosomal RNA (956 nucleotides) under uncultured bacterium. RNAcentral's name for it is "bacterial SSU rRNA". It matches the Rfam family "Bacterial small subunit ribosomal RNA", at positions 42 to 990 of the family's 1533-position model. The record is from RNAcentral.
GCGCGGCCUACCAUGCAAGUCGAGCGGCAGCACAGGUAGCUUGCUACCGGGUGGCGAGCGGCGGACGGGUGAGUAAUGCGUGGGAAUCUGCCCAUUAGUGGGGGAUAACAUUCGGAAACGGACGCUAAUACCGCAUAAUCCCUACGGGGGAAAGCAGGGGAUCUUCGGACCUUGCGCUGAUGGAUGAGCUCACGUCGGAUUAGCUAGUUGGCGGGGUAAAGGCCCACCAAGGCGACGAUCCGUAGCUGGUCUGAGAGGAUGAUCAGCCACAUUGGGACUGAGACACGGCCCAAACUCCUACGGGAGGCAGCAGUGGGGAAUAUUGGACAAUGGGCGCAAGCCUGAUCCAGCCAUGCCGCGUGUGUGAAGAAGGCCUUCGGGUUGUAAAGCACUUUCAGCGGGGAGGAAGGCUUGGGGCUAAUACCCUCGAGUACUUGACGUUACCCGCAGAAGAAGCACCGGCUAAUUUCGUGCCAGCAGCCGCGGUAAUACGAAAGGUGCGAGCGUUAAUCGGAAUUACUGGGCGUAAAGCGUGCGUAGGCGGCUGUUUAAGUCGGAUGUGAAAGCCCCGGGCUCAACCUGGGAGGGUCAUCCGAUACUGGGCAGCUAGAGUGUAGUAGAGGGAGGUGGAAUUUCCGGUGUAGCGGUGAAAUGCGUAGAGAUCGGAAGGAACACCAGUGGCGAAGGCGGCCUCCUGGACUAACACUGACGCUGAGGUACGAAAGCGUGGGGAUCAAACAGGAUUAGAUACCCUGGUAGUCCACGCCGUAAACGAUGUCAACUAGCCGCUGGAAGCCUUGUGUUUUUGGUGGCGCAGCUAACGCGCUAAGUUGACCGCCUGGGGAGUACGGCCGCAAGGUUAAAACUCAAAUGAAUUGACGGGGGCCCGCACAAGCGGUGGAGCAUGUGGUUUAAUUCGAUGCAACGCGAAGAACCUUACCAGCCCUUGACAUGCA